This 1077-nucleotide long non-coding RNA is filed under the name Canis lupus familiaris (dog). RNAcentral describes it as "lncRNA (ENSCAFG00040025781.1)". Lineage: Eukaryota; Metazoa; Chordata; Mammalia; Carnivora; Canidae. The record is from RNAcentral.
AGAAACGGGCGCCGUGGGUGCAAACCAGAGGGGGAAACGGCGCUGAAGAGCCAGCGACCCGGCGGUGCCAGGAAAAAAAGAAAAAAGAAAAAAAAAAAAAAAAAAAAAAAAAAAAGGCGGGCCGGCGGGCAGGUGGGGAGUGAGGGCGGGGGGGGGGGUCAUACUUCGGAGGGUCCCAGAGCAACCUCGGUCAGGACCGGUCCUCGCUCGGAGGCCCCCGAGGGCGGACCGGGUCCUCCACCGCCCCGGCCGCUGGGCCGCCGGGCUGCACCCCGCAAGGCGCCCCGGGGCCCCCGCCCCCGCACGCCCCGAGGUGGAGGAGCCGGGCGGGCGGCCCCCAGGUCUCCCCGCGCUGACUCUCGGAGAGGAGGGGCCGCGGGGCCGCGCAAACCCUCCCCUCCCGGGCGCCCCUCGGCGCGGGCAGCGCGGGGCCCCGAGCCCCGGCCCGCAGGCCGCAGGCUCCGGGACGUUUGCAGAGCCCCCGCCGCCCGAGCCCGCAGGCUCCGGGACGAUUGCAGAGCCCCCGCCGCCCCGAGCCCGCAGGCUCCGGGACGAUUGCAGAGCCCCCGCCGCCCCUCCUCCCGGCUCGCUCGGCCGCGGCCCCGCAGCCUUCCAAAGUUCCCGGGGCUCAGGCCGGGCCCGCCGCAGGGGACGGGGGCGGGGGGGGGCAGGCAGCCGCGGGGGGUUUCCACCCAGCCGCCGACACCCCCGGGGAAUUCCCCCAGCGGGCCACACUCGCGAAGCCGCCUUCCUGCCGCCGAUUUCCGCCGCGGGGCUGCAGCCGCGCGGCCCGCGAGGUGGGGCUCGGGCCACGCCUCCCGCGCCGCUCCGCUCGCGAACCCCGGCCGCCACCCCGCUCGGCCGGAGGCGCCCGAAGGCCUUCGGCAAGUUCCGCCUGCGGCGCGGGGGGGCGGGGCCGCUCGAGCUCCUCCGGGCCGGGCUCGGCUGUUUCCGUGCGCGGCCGCUGCGCACUCGGCACUGGGCGGCGCUGGCUGGCUCCCUGGCUGCGGCUCCUCAGUCGGCGGCGGCUGCUGCUGCCUGUGGCCCGGGCGGCUGGGAGAAGCGGAGUGUUGGUGA